AGUGGCAGACGGGUGAGUAACAUGUAGGUCUCAGCCCUUUGGCCUGGAAUAACACGAGGAAACUUGUGCUAAUACCGGAUAAGUCUUUACGGAGAAAGCUUUAUGCACCAUUGGAUGAGCCUGCACUUGAUUAGUUUGUUGGUGGGGUAAUGGCCUACCAAGACUGUGAUCAAUAGCUGAUUUGAGAGGAUGAUCAGCCACAUUGGGACUGAGACACGGCCCAAACUCCUACGGGAGGCAGCAGUGGGGAAUCUUGCACAAUGGAGGAAACUCUGAUGCAGCGAUGCCGCGUGAGUGAAGAAGGCCUUUGGGUUGUAAAGCUCUUUCGUCGGGGAAGAAAAUGACUGUACCAGAAUAAGAAGGUCCGGCUAACUUCGUGCCAGCAGCCGCGGUAAUACGAAGGGACCUAGCGUAGUUCGGAAUUACUGGGCUUAAAGAGUUCGUAGGUGGUUGAAAAAGUUGGUGGUGAAAUCCCAGAGCUUAACUCUGGAACUGCCAUCAAAACUUUUCAGCUAGAGUAUGAUAGAGGAAAGCAGAAUUUCUAGUGUAGAGGUGAAAUUCGUAGAUAUUAGAAAGAAUACCAAUUGCGAAGGCAGCUUUCUGGAUCAUUACUGACACUGAGGAACGAAAGCAUGGGUAGCGAAGAGGAUUAGAUACCCUCGUAGUCCAUGCCGUAAACGAUGUGUGUUAGACGUUGGAAAUUUAUUUUCAGUGUCGCAGCGAAAGCGAUAAACACACCGCCUGGGGAGUAC
This 752-nucleotide ribosomal RNA is filed under the name uncultured marine bacterium. RNAcentral describes it as "bacterial SSU rRNA". It matches the Rfam family "Bacterial small subunit ribosomal RNA", at positions 94 to 883 of the family's 1533-position model. The record is from RNAcentral.